This 803-nucleotide ribosomal RNA is filed under the name Caenominurus topali. RNAcentral's name for it is "eukaryotic LSU rRNA". It matches the Rfam family "Eukaryotic large subunit ribosomal RNA", at positions 393 to 959 of the family's 3401-position model. The record is from RNAcentral. Lineage: Eukaryota; Metazoa; Arthropoda; Insecta; Coleoptera; Caridae.
GAGUACGUGAAACCGUUUAGGGGUAAACCUGAGAAACCCGAAAGGUCGAAGGGAGAAAUUCAUUCGCGUUUCGACGUUGGCGUGAGACGAUCGUGCGACGGAUGGCGUUCGCGUCGUCUGCGCCUUUCGUUUUUCGAUCCGACGUCGAACGCGUGCACUUUUCUCCUGGUAGGACGUCGCGAUCCGUUGGGUGUCGGUCUAAGGCUCGCGGUGGAGCCCGGUCGUUCGGUUCGCCGUUACGAUCGGACCCGUGGUGUCCCGGCCGACCCGCUCGACGGUAUAAGAAAGGCGUGGGGCCGCUUCUCGAAGCGUCCGACCCGUGGCAAGCGCGUUCGGUGUGUUGGCGAUCGGACCUGGUGCCGAUUCUGACCCCGGAUGACUGUUGGCUGCGGCGUUCUCGGACAGACCUCUUUCGCCGAUCUGCGACGCUAUAGCUUUGGGUACUUUCAGGACCCGUCUUGAAACACGGACCAAGGAGUCUAGCAUGUGCGCGAGUCAUUGGGAAUCACAAAACCUAAAGGCGCAAUGAAAGUAAAGGUUCGCUUACUGCGAACCGAGGGAGGAUAGGCGGUUCGCCCUUAAAAGUGGCCGCCUCGCACUCCCGGGGCGUCUCGUUCUCAUUGCGAGAAGAGGCGCACCAAGAGCGUACACGCUGGGACCCGAAAGAUGGUGAACUAUGCCUGGUCAGGACGAAGUCAGGGGAAACCCUGAUGGAGGUCCGUAGCGAUUCUGACGUGCAAAUCGAUCGUCGGAACUGGGUAUAGGGGCGAAAGACUAAUCGAACCAUCUAGUAGCUGGUUCCC